UUGUGUUGGAACAUGGUCUUAGUCUGACCAAUUAUGGGAAAUCCUCAGAGUAGAUUCGCUCCAAGAGAAACAAACUUGGAUGAUGAGCACCCCCAAGUUCCAGGUACCGAAUCAAAUGUGGACGAUGGGAAGCCCCAAGUUGCAGAAGAGACAUCUUCACCAGCAGUUGAAGACAUUCCUUCUACCCAUCCCAAAACAAACUUUGAUGAUGAGCUCCCCACUGUUCCGG
RNAcentral lists this long non-coding RNA (229 nucleotides) under Patiria miniata (bat star). RNAcentral describes it as "uncharacterized LOC119733339". The record is from RNAcentral. Lineage: Eukaryota; Metazoa; Echinodermata; Asteroidea; Valvatida; Asterinidae.